GAAAUGCGAUACGUAAUGCGAAUUGCAGAAUUCAGUGAAUCAUCAAAUUCUUGAACGCAAAUUGCGCUUCCGGGAUAGCCCUGGGAGCACGCUUCUUUGAGUAUCGGUUCACACCAUACUCGGCGGCGUUUUAAUUUAUUAAAACGUGCAGCCGGAUAAUGAGCGUCACAGCCAGAGUGUGCACUACGUGGCUGCGUCGCUUCAAGCUCAGAGCGCCAAUUACCAAGCUCAAGUUUAGCCCCCAAUGUCGGGACGAACAAUGGGUACACACCCCAAAUUUGUUAGUCAUACCAAACUGACAUUGUAGGUUUGAGUUUUGGUUACAAAAGGUGCUAUUUGGAAUUAACGGGUCGGCAGGCAACUGCACUUCCCCUCGAAAUAGAUCUCAGAUGAAGCGAGA
Molecule: unclassified non-coding RNA, 400 nt
Filed under: uncultured fungus
Lineage: Eukaryota; Fungi
Description: sequence contains ITS1
Rfam family: 5.8S ribosomal RNA (bases 1-106)
Source: RNAcentral